This 322-nucleotide ribosomal RNA is filed under the name uncultured eukaryote. RNAcentral describes it as "partial 18S ribosomal RNA". It matches the Rfam family "Eukaryotic small subunit ribosomal RNA", at positions 1470 to 1796 of the family's 1831-position model. The record is from RNAcentral.
CCCUUAGAUGUUCUGGGCCGCACGCGUGCUACACUGAGUGGAUCAGCGGGUCAGGUUGCGCGAAAGCGUUUCCUAAUCUUUAAAUCCGCUCGUGAUGGGGAUUGACGGUUGCAAUUUUCUGUCAUGAACGAGGAAUACCUUGUAAGCGCGGGUCAUCAUCCCGCGCUGAAUACGUCCCUGCCCUUUGUACACACCGCCCGUCGCUCCCACCGAUUGAGUGGUCCGGUGAGGCUUUGGGAUCUGAGCGGAAAGAGCGUUUCGCUGUUUCUGCUCGGAAAACUCAGUCGAACCUUAUCAUUUAGAGGAAGGAGAAGUCGUAACA